RNAcentral lists this long non-coding RNA (2404 nucleotides) under Homo sapiens (human). RNAcentral's name for it is "HSALNT0329563". Lineage: Eukaryota; Metazoa; Chordata; Mammalia; Primates; Hominidae. The record is from RNAcentral.
GGCUCCCCGAGCGCCGGUGCGCACCGGCGAGGGGCGGGAGCGGCCGAGGGGCCGAGGCGCGCACGUGCCGCUCCAGCACCGGCCAUGUCAGGCCGAGGGACCCCGCGGGCCCGGCCGAGCGGCAGCCCCUGCCCUGGAGGGUGGUCUCCAGGGACCAAGGCGUGGCGGGCGGUGCGGAGAGGCGCGGCACAGAUGGCUACAUCAGAGGAAUUUCUCCACAUAUUCAGAACGUCCUAAAAGCUCCACAAAAUCUUCAUCAUGAGUGAUUACCAGAAGCUGGAAGUUACGCUGCUGUGAGCGACUUUUUAUUAUCCUGCAACAAUAUAUUCAGAACAUAUUAUUAGUAAAGAGCAUAACCCCUUCUUUGAUUUGAAAAGUCACCGCAAACCUUGUCAGACACAUGAACUUGUGCUGUGUGUCAGGGCCCCAGCUACCCUGCAGGAAGUGGAGGGGUGGCCCCAGGCCUUCAGGCCAGCCAGGCAGGAGUCUCUUCUCCUCUCCAGACAGUAGGGACACAUGGCCUGACUCCUCACUUAGGUCUGGCUUAGGGACUCACAGGAAUACAAGAACUAGUUUCUUCCAGAUCAGAAGUUCUCACUAAAGCAGGUAUAAAUAUUUUAUUGAGUUUUCCUUAAUAUCCAAACUGUUCAACUAUAGAAGGCUUACUCCUUCGCCUGGGAUUUUCCUGACCUGUUACUACUUUUCUCUGGAAGAAAAAUUUAAAAGUAAUAAAGACAAACUACAGUUACUUGGGUGAGUUGGCUCCCCAGGCUUUUGAGAUACCUGCCUUUUGUCCAGCACUGCAUCGUCCUCGCAUAUCCAAGGCUGUGUCUCCCUUCAGCAUCACCACUCGGCUUUUAGCAGACUGAAGCCAUGGUUUUUAGUUUUGUCUCUAGUGAUGAGCAGAAAAGAGGGAUGAGGAAGAGGCUUUACUGGUCCAACCAGAAAGAGAAGCUAAGAACCCAUGACUGGAUUCUCUCCCUUGGACACCCCACAGACCAAUAUCUCACCUUCCAGGAGAAGACCCUUCCAGCUCUUGCUUCUUUAAACCUAUUAACUUAGUUUUCUUUAGCUAGACUCCCAAACAUCAGCUUUUACAAUUCAGCCUAUGGUUCAAUCACUAUGGCAAGAUAAACAUUUGUUUAGGUGUGAAACACCACUGGCUAUCUUUGGGUUUUGUAAUCUACCCUCUUGAGGUUGCAGGAGCUACUGUGAAACCUUACUGCAUCCAUGGUCAUGAUAGAGAUGGUGACUCUAAGGUGAGCCCUGAAUAAAGCCCUCAUCUGAAGCUCCCCUCGAAUGCAGGGACCCAGGCUCUGAAGAGCCUCACAGAAAGCUGGCUACCUUGGAUGCAAAACUGUAAAGGUUACGUGUUUACAAUGAGUCUUAAAAGAAGCAUGACCUGGCCAGGUGCGUGGCUCAUGCUUGUAAUCCCAGCACUUUGGGAGGCCAAGGCAGGUGGAUCACAAGGUCAAGAGAUCAAGACCAUCCUGGCCAACAUGGUGAAACCCCGUCUCUACUAAAAAUACAAAAAAUUAGCCGGGUGUGGUGGCAGGCGCCUGUAAUCCCAGCUACUUGGGAGGCCGAGGCAGAAGAAUUGCUUGAACCCGGGAGGUGGAGAUGGCAGUGAGCUGAGAUCGCACCAUUGGAGUCCAGCCUGGGCAAAAAGAGCGAAACUCUGUCUCAAAAAAAAAAAAAAAAGUAUUACCUAAUAUGCAACCUUCCACAUCUGGGGAAAAAUGAGAGUAGAACAUUUUGGGCAUGGGGUAGAACACCAUAUCUUGAGUGAUAUAUUCUAACAUCAUUUAAAUUGGUAUAUUGUAUUAGUAUGGGGUAAUACAUUCCAAAUGAUGGAUAAUUUCCCCCUUUUCAUCUAUGUGUCUCUGACCACUGCCAAUGCUUAUACUUAGUGAUGUUUUUAGAUGAUUACUAAUAACAGAUGGUAAUCAGCUUUUCUUGAAAAUGCACUGCUGACUUCCUGUGUUACCUUAAAUAGACAGCUGAACGCAACAAUUACACUGACUGCAUGCUUUAUUCUAAGACGUGAAAGAAUGAGGGAAAUUUUGUACCUUACUUUCUUCUGGGUGAGAAGGCAAAUUUAGGGCUCACCGUAUAAAUCUUGAGAAGGCCACUGUUUGCGAGCAUAAGCCACAAAGACUCAAUUUUGGGGAAAUUUGUAUCACCUCUUUUCAUUUAGAAGAAUCCAUCUGAGUACCAGGUAAGAGAACUCAGUAAACAGCCUGGCUUUGUUCCUUAACAAGCCUAAAUUGCUAGAAAGCACUCCUGUACCUCUCCACCCCGCCAGGCUCCACCAAGCUCCCUCAUAGGUCCUCAUUCUGCUCAGCAUGCCUCUGUGACUGAGGCACUUUUCUCUGCUGAAAAGCCCUUCCUUCUUAUCCCAGGC